This 423-nucleotide ribosomal RNA is filed under the name uncultured prokaryote. RNAcentral describes it as "bacterial SSU rRNA". It matches the Rfam family "Bacterial small subunit ribosomal RNA", at positions 355 to 795 of the family's 1533-position model. The record is from RNAcentral.
UAGGGAAUAUUAGAAAUGGACGAAAGUCUGAUCUAGCAACACCGCGUGUGCGAAGAAGGCCUUCGGGUUGUAAAGCACUUUUUGGAAGGAUUAGGAAGGAAUGUACUUCCAGAAUAAGCCUCGGCUAACUACGUGCCAGCAGCCGCGGUAAAACGUAGGAGGCGAGCGUUAUCCGGAUUUACUGGGCGUAAAGCGUGUGUAGGCGGUUUGAUAAGUUGGAUGUGAAAGCUCCUGGCUCAACUGGGAGAGGCCGUUCUAAACUGCAGAGCUAGAGGAUGGUAGAGGGAGGUGGAAUUCCGGGUGUAGCGGUGGAAUGCGCAGAUAUCCGGAGGAACACCAGUGGCGAAAGCGGCCUCCUGGACCAUUCCUGACACUCAGACGCGAAAGCUAGGGUAGCAAACAGGAUUAGAUCGCCCCGUAGUA